GUAUGGAAAGUGCUGGAAUGCAGUAUAGUUUGCUGAACGUGGUACAUCAACUGUUUGAAUCUGCAGCACGGGCAGUAGUGAAGAGGGACCUAACAUUGCUCUACUGGGUCUGAAAAUCAGAUGAGAAAGCCCGUGUGUGCAAAUGAAGUUGUAGUGAGUUGGGAAGAAACAACCACCAGGUGACUGUGCAGCUGAAACAUCCCGAAAUUCCUGUCGCCCCAAAAAUCUACAUGGUGUCAUCCUUUUUGGAGAGAACCCAGCCAGAGCUGCCUCUCAUCCAACCUGCAGACAGGUAGUGACACUUCCAGCCCUACCUGAGACAGAUCUGAAUGCAGAGCACUUCUGCAGGAAUCCACCCCUGUGUGCUCAAAUCAAGAGAGAAGCAGAUUUAUCCUCCAGCUCAGCGAAGGACAUGGUUUCUUUGGACCACGUAUG
Molecule: long non-coding RNA, 435 nt
Filed under: Chrysolophus pictus (golden pheasant)
Lineage: Eukaryota; Metazoa; Chordata; Aves; Galliformes; Phasianidae
Description: lncRNA (ENSCPIG00010004765.1)
Source: RNAcentral